AUAAAAAACCAAUGCUCUUCGGGGCUCUCUUGGUGAUUCAUGAUAACUUCUCGAAUCGCACGGCCCCGCGCCGGCGAUGGUUCAUUCAAAUUUCUUCCUUACCAACUUUCGAUGCUACGGUAUUGUCCUAGCAUGGUUG
Molecule: ribosomal RNA, 139 nt
Filed under: uncultured eukaryote
Lineage: Eukaryota
Description: partial 18S ribosomal RNA
Rfam family: Eukaryotic small subunit ribosomal RNA
Source: RNAcentral